GAUGAACGCUGGCGGCGUGCCUAAUACAUGCAAGUCGAGCGAACAGACGAGGAGCUUGCUCCUCUGACGUUAGCGGCGGACGGGUGAGUAACACGUGGAUAACCUACCUAUAAGACUGGGAUAACUUCGGGAAACCGGAGCUAAUACCGUAUAAUAUAUUGAACCGCAUGGUUCAAUAGUGAAAGACGGUUUUGCUGUCACUUAUAGAUGGAUCCGCGCCGCAUUAGCUAGUUGGUAAGGUAACGGCUUACCAAGGCAACGAUGCGUAGCCGACCGGAGAGAGUGGUAGGCCACACUAGAACUCAGACACGGACAAGACUACUAAGGGACGGAGCAGUCGGGAAUGGUACGCAGUGGGCGAAAGCAUGACGGAGCAAGGGCGCGUGAGUGAUGAAGGUCUUCGGAUCGUAAAACUCUGUUAUUAGGGAAGAACAACUGUGUACGUAACUAUGCACGUCUUGACGGUACCUAAUCAGAAAGCCACGGCUAACUACGUG
This 497-nucleotide ribosomal RNA is filed under the name uncultured bacterium. RNAcentral's name for it is "partial 16S ribosomal RNA". It matches the Rfam family "Bacterial small subunit ribosomal RNA", at positions 28 to 507 of the family's 1533-position model. The record is from RNAcentral.